UCAGCAGUCAAGAAUAUUAGUCAAUGCUCGCAAGAGUGAACUAGCUAACUGAAAUCUAAAAUUUUAUUUUAAGAUAAGGUAAGAGAAAAUAAUGAUAUUAUCUUACUAUUAGUGUCGUCUAAAUUUGGUGCCAGAAGACUCGGUAAGACCUUAGACGCAAACGUUAAUCGUCAUAAUCAGGCGUAAAGGGUGUGUAGGCGGCUUUUUAUACAAAUAUAAUUAUAGCUAAUAAAUUAUAUUCCAAUAAAAGCUAGAAUCUAAAAGAGGGUAAGCUAAACAACAUAAUUAAUUGGGACUGACAACUUAUAAUAAUGUGGAGUACUAAAGGUUAAAGCUAUUUAUCUACUUAAGAUUGACGCUGAGAAACGAAGGGGAGAAUAAGAAACUUAGAUUAGAGACCUAAUUAUCUCUCUCAGUCAACGAUGAAUGGUAGUUAUUAAAAAUAAAAUAUAAUAUUAUUAGUGACGAGGUUAACACGAUGACCAUUCCGCCUUGUUAGUAAGACUGCAAAGUUGAAAACAAAAAAAUAGUCGGUCUGC
This 539-nucleotide ribosomal RNA is filed under the name Veloporphyrellus conicus. RNAcentral's name for it is "partial small subunit ribosomal RNA". It matches the Rfam family "Bacterial small subunit ribosomal RNA", at positions 348 to 921 of the family's 1533-position model. The record is from RNAcentral. Lineage: Eukaryota; Fungi; Basidiomycota; Agaricomycetes; Boletales; Boletaceae.